RNAcentral lists this ribosomal RNA (274 nucleotides) under uncultured bacterium. RNAcentral's name for it is "partial 16S ribosomal RNA". It matches the Rfam family "Bacterial small subunit ribosomal RNA", at positions 523 to 796 of the family's 1533-position model. The record is from RNAcentral.
AUACGGAGGGGGCUAGCGUUGUUCGGAAUUACUGGGCGUAAAGCGUACGUAGGCGGACUGAUCAGUUGGGGGUGAAAUCCCAGGGCUUAACCCUGGAACUGCCUUCAAUACUGUCAGUCUUGAGAUUGGAAGAGGUGAGUGGAAUUCCUAGUGUAGAGGUGAAAUUCAUAGAUAUUAGGAGGAACACCAGUGGCGAAGGCGGCUCACUGGUCCAAUACUGACGCUGAGGUACGAAAGCGUGGGGAGCAAACAGGAUUAGAUACCCCAGUAGUCC